GCCGGAGUGGCGGAAUUGGCAGACGCAAGGGACUUAAAAUCCCUCGGACCCUUGGUCCAUGCGGGUUCGAGCCCCGCCUCCGGCACCA
Molecule: transfer RNA, 88 nt
Filed under: Bacillota bacterium
Lineage: Bacteria; Bacillati; Bacillota
Description: tRNA-Leu
Rfam family: tRNA
About the family: Transfer RNA (tRNA) molecules are approximately 80 nucleotides in length. Their secondary structure includes four short double-helical elements and three loops (D, anti-codon, and T loops). Further hydrogen bonds mediate the characteristic L-shaped molecular structure. tRNAs have two regions of fundamental functional importance: the anti-codon, which is responsible for specific mRNA codon recognition, and the 3' end, to which the tRNAs corresponding amino acid is attached (by aminoacyl-tRNA synthetases). tRNAs cope with the degeneracy of the genetic code in two manners: having more than one tRNA (with a specific anti-codon) for a particular amino acid; and 'wobble' base-pairing, i.e. permitting non-standard base-pairing at the 3rd anti-codon position.
Source: RNAcentral